UGCUCCAUGGAAAGCACCAGGAUGCACUUGA
This 31-nucleotide non-coding RNA is filed under the name Homo sapiens (human). Lineage: Eukaryota; Metazoa; Chordata; Mammalia; Primates; Hominidae. The record is from RNAcentral.